CAAUGAAAUGUUAACAUGUACACUCCAAAAUUCACACCUGUGUGACUUUUGACCAAACAUGCAGUUGGCCUUAAUAUUUAGACCGAACCUCAAAACAUGGCAUCUACCUUUGAGAUUGGCUUAGACUUAUGUGACACUCAAGGUGCCAGGGCAAUGUUUCAUAGAGUGGAAUGAUUGACCUCAACACAAGUAUUAAAAAAAAAAGAAGCAAAACAGGUCUACAUCUCAAAACCUGAUCUCUUCCUGGACUGGCUUUAGGAGAACGAUGAUGCAUAUCAAUUUCAUCCCUGAUCUCUAUGACACCUGUGGUGGAAGUGGAGGGCAAAUCGUAAUCAGUUUGGGUUCCAGCCCCGAGGACCUCUGUAAACUUUGCUUUUUGGUGAUGACUUAAUUUCCGAGCUUGAAAAGGAAGCUUGUGUGUUUAUCAUGGCCUCUCAUAUUGGAAGAUAACAUUAAUGGUUUGUGUGUUGAUCGACGGUUGUGCAUAUCUCUUGGUCAGGAAAGUUGUAGGCACCAUCGCCAUUGUAAAUCAUUUGACAGGCCCGAGUGAACGGGGCGACCUAUGAUUGGUCAGCAAUGUAUCAGAUUCCAUACCGGGGGGUGGGGAUGAAAAAACUGUUGUAGUGUUACAUAAUCAGAUUAUUUCAACUUACUUAUCCUGUGGAAAUACAGCUAUAUAGGAGAUAUUUUGAAAUUCAUAGGCACUGCAUGUUUCAACAUUUUAGAUUUGACCACAAUUUGGCACUUGAAACUAUGUUAACAGAGAAAAACUGUGUGGUUUUCGAUGAAAGUGUUAAAAGUCUAAUAUUGCAUCAUGAUUACUGUUUUAAAGUAUUUUCGUGUUUGAUUUAUAUUGAAUUCAUCUCAUCUUUUUGAAGAAUGCAUUUAUGUUCAAAAAUAAAAAUGUUCUGUGGAAUUCAAAAUUCAUGUGCUUUUAAAUUAUCAGAUUCCAAACUGGGGGGUAGGGAUGAAAAAGCUGUUGUAGUGUUACAUAAUCAGAUUAUUUCAACUUACUUAUCCUAUGGAAAUACAGCUAUAUAGGAAAUAUUUUAAAAUUGAUAGGCACUGCAUGUUUCAACAUUUUAGAUUUGACCACAAUUUGGCACUUGAAACUACGUUAACA
Molecule: long non-coding RNA, 1123 nt
Organism: Patella vulgata (common limpet)
Lineage: Eukaryota; Metazoa; Mollusca; Gastropoda; Patellidae
Exons: 3
Source: RefSeq, a predicted model, not a curated record